AAUGAACGCUGGCGGCAUGCCUUACACAUGCAAGUCGAACGGUAGCAUUAUCUAGCUUUCUUUCUUGAUGGCGAUUGGCUGUCUUGUGAGUAAUGCAUCGGAACGUGCCUUUUUAUGGUGGCUAACGUAUCGAGAUUUACUCUCAUACCGCAUAUUCUCUGCGGAUGAAAUCAUGAUACCUUCUGUCCUUGCGCUAAAAAAUCGGCCGAUGUCUGAUUAGCUAGUUGGUGAGGUACUGGCUCAUCAAGGCAACGAUCAGUAGCGGGUCUGAGAGGAUGAUGCGCCACACUGGGACUGAGACAAGGCCCAGACUCCUAAGGUAGGCAGCAGUGGAGAAUUUUGGACAAGGGGCGCAAGCCUGAUACAGCAAUGCGGAGGGAGCGAAGAAGGCCUGAGGGGUGGAAAGCGAUUUAGGCUGGGAAGAAAUCGCAUCCUCUAAUACGGGGUGUGGAUGACGGUACCAGAAUAAGAAGCACCGGCUAACUACGUG
This 490-nucleotide ribosomal RNA is filed under the name uncultured bacterium. RNAcentral's name for it is "partial 16S ribosomal RNA". It matches the Rfam family "Bacterial small subunit ribosomal RNA", at positions 29 to 507 of the family's 1533-position model. The record is from RNAcentral.